Molecule: non-coding RNA, 79 nt
Organism: Trichonephila clavipes
Lineage: Eukaryota; Metazoa; Arthropoda; Arachnida; Araneae; Nephilidae
Source: the annotation of a GenBank genome assembly
GUUCCUGUAGCGCAAUGAAUCGUGUGUGUGCGUUGGACUUCUAAUCCAAAGGUCGUGGGUUCGAAUCCCACCUGAAAUG